RNAcentral lists this ribosomal RNA (497 nucleotides) under uncultured bacterium. RNAcentral's name for it is "partial 16S ribosomal RNA". It matches the Rfam family "Bacterial small subunit ribosomal RNA", at positions 28 to 507 of the family's 1533-position model. The record is from RNAcentral.
GAUGAACGCUGGCGGCGUGCCUAAUACAUGCAAGUCGAGCGAACAGAUGAGGAGCUUGCUCCUCUGACGUUAGCGGCGGACGGGUGAGUAACACGUGGAUAACCUACCUAUAAGACUGGGAUAACUUCGGGAAACCGGAGCUAAUACCGGAUAAUAUAUUGAACCGCAUGGUUCAAUAGUGAAAGACGGUUUUGCUGUCACUUAUAGAUGGAUCCGCGCCGCAUUAGCUAGUUGGUAAGGUAACGGCUUACCAAGGCAACGAUGCGUAGCCGACCUGAGAGGGUGACGGGCCACACUGGAACUGAGACACGGUCCAGACUCCUACGGGAGGCAGCAGUAGGGAAUCUUCCGCAAUGGGCGAAAGCCUGACGGAGCAACGCCGCGUGAGUGAUGAAGGUCUUCGGAUCGUAAAACUCUGUUAUUAGGGAAGAACAAAUGUGUAAGUAACUAUGCACGUCUUGACGGUACCUAAUCAGAAAGCCACGGCUAACUACGUG